Long non-coding RNA from Salarias fasciatus (jewelled blenny), 2910 nucleotides. The record is from Ensembl. Lineage: Eukaryota; Metazoa; Chordata; Actinopteri; Blenniiformes; Blenniidae.
AGGCGGCGCUGCUGCGAGGGGGCGGGGCCGCGGGAGGCGCCGGAGGAGGGGUGGCGGGGGAGCACAUCUUCUUCCUGCCUCUCUUCCAGUCCGAGACGUCCACGCCCACGUCGGUGGGCGGGUUCUCGGCGAGGGGGACGCCCUCGGAGGAAGGCGGGUACCGGUGCCAGACGGCGGACGUGAGCGUGGCGUCGCCUGGAGACACGCCCACCCCGAGUCCCGGCUUCAGCUGCACCGGGAGUCUUCCCCACCACUUCCGGACCGGCGGCGAGAGGAGGGACUCCAGCCUGAGCGGCAGCACCGUGGGGGGGACCCCCGGCAGCUCGGGCCCCGGGCGCAGGAAGGAGUGGUGGGAGAGCGCCGGGAACAAGCUGUACACCAUCGCCACGGACAAGACGCUCAGCAAGCUGAUGAUGGAGUACAAGCGCAGGAAGCAGCAGCAGCAGCAGCCGCAGCAGAGCCACCUCAACCUGUUCAUGAAGGAGCAGGGCCGGGCGGCCGGGGGCCCCGGGGGGCCCGGGGGGGCCGGCGCCGCCGAGCGCAGGGGCCCCGCGGAGCCGCAGCGGCCCCCGCAGAGGCCCCAGCAGCUGGUGGACCAGCAGGGGCCCCCCCUCAGGCACUCGGUGAGCGCCGGGCCGGAGGUGCUGAGGCAGGAGAAGAGGCCCCGGUCCGGAUCCACCAUCAGCUCCCACAGCAUCUCCCUGAGGGACUCCGAGGCCCAGAUCCAGGCCUGGACCAACAUGGUGCUGACCCUGCUGAACCAGGUCCUGGUCCUGGGCGACCCGGCCUUCCUGGCCCUGCAGCCGGCGCUCUUCCCCUGCCUCAGCCAGCUCUGCUGCCACGUGACCGACGCCCGGGUCCGCCAGGCGCUGCGCGAGUGGCUGGGCCGCGUGGGCCGGCUCUACGACAUCGUGCUGUGAGGGCCCGGCUCCCCGCGGGGCCCCUGGGAACCUCCCGUCCCGCUCCCCCCUCUUGGCUGAAAUUUGCAGACUCUUCGUGUUGGUGCAGUAUUUCUCCUCGUCUGUCGACUCCUGCGAGCUUCUGCUGUUUUUCUCUCGUCUGCUUCGAAAUGAAAUGAUUCCCCUCCACCUCCCCCGUCCUUAAAGGGACAGUACACCUUUUCCAAAGUUUAAUCCCUUUAAAACAAAAGCAACAAUCAUGAUCUGAACCAGUCGACGCUGCGGUCCAGCUCCACAGGGUGCCUUCAGACAGGGAAUCCCAUCAGAUCCAGAGCCGGGCUGCGUUCACACUCCUCAGAAACCAACAGGAGCGUUCACACCAAGACGGAGCCCAAGCCUCACCGCUCACAUUCAUUCACAGGUUACAAUUUUAGAUUUUAGGUUCCAUCAGGUCCUGAAAAAACAGGUUUUUUCCCCUUAAUUUUCAGUUUGUCCUUAUCAUGAAAGAACUUUUGUGAAUGUAAUCGCAGCGUUUUGUUCUUGACCAGCGAUCUGUGACCUCUGUGACCUUUAGGACCACCAGAGAAUCAAAACAUGUUCAACAUCUGGAAUGAAGAAAAACUCAAAGUUCACUCAUGAAGAGUCAUCGAGACACUUUAAAUCUCUUUUAUGACAUUUUCAGCUUUUGGAGCCACUUUUAGAAAGGUUUCUUCUUUUUCCAGAUAGAUUUUCUUACUGCAGUCAUUUCAUGUUUCUUGGCUUUUUUAGCGGUUUUUGGCAGUUGUGUUUCCAGAAGGUUCAAGCUGUUUUACACAGGAGCUAUUUUGCAUUUUGUCAUUUUCUAUUUUUUCCUCUUUAUUAAUAUUUUCUUCUUUUCCUCUUAUUUUCUACUUUUUUCUUGUUUUUUCCCCUUUUUCAUAUUUUUUCUCUUUUUUAUUUAAGAGAUUCAAAAUCAUUCCUUGUUUUACCUUCUUUAUCAGGUUUUAUUCUGGAGGUUGAACUGUUUUUGAACUAAAAAUUAAGAAGUUCUUAUGUACAUGGCACAUUCCAAAAGCCUCACGGAGCCGCCGGUUGCAGACUUCUGGUCUGGAACAAACACACCAGUAGAAUCUGUCAUUAUUCAGUUUUGCUGUUAUUUUGAAGCACUUGAUAAAUUUCUUUGCGUGUUGAGAAACUUCAGACGUCCCGUUGAUUUAACAAUCGUCUCCUGAUGGGGGUUUUUCCCAGCGAGGAACUUCAGGAAGCAGGUUUAGUUUUGAUCCGUCCAAUCGGGUGUGAGCACAGCCUGGAAGUCCCGCCCACAAUAUGUGACUGACGGCAAACUGCACCAAUCAAACAACCAACCAACAGCGAGCGACUCCGAAAAGUCCCGAAUCAGGGCAAACUGCAAACUUUUCCUACUGUGUGUGUGUGUGUGCGUGCGUGCAUGCGUGCGUGCGUGUGCCUGAUCCAGCUUUAAAAACUGUGCCGUCCUGAAUGUCUUUGUGUUUCUGGCCUGUUGAAAGUAUUUAUUUGAGCCAAAUAUGCUGAGAGCCGUUGACACGACAACGAGAAUUUUUGUUUCAUGUAAAGUUUUCCGUUUCCACGGUAACGGCGGGAACGCUGGAAGUGAUGGAGUUAGCCGGCGUCCACGAGUUCGUUUCCAAUGUAAAACGCUCCGGAGGCCGCCAUGUUGGAUAUUGUCCCUCUACUGAGCAUGUGCAGAACGACUCAGCCGGCCCCUGUGUGUCGGUGUGCAGCAGCAGCGUUUCCAUGGCGAUGGAGUCCGAGAGAUUUCAAGAAGUGGCAUUUUCAGCGGCUCCGUUGUCAUGGAAACAGACGACCAAAACGCAGCGGAAGUUUCCGGUUGUCAUGUGAAACGGUUGCCGUGCCAACGGGUGUGUGUGUUUCGCCCCUUCCUGUCUCCGACGCCGUCGUCCGGAGUGUUUAAAGCAGCAUCGUCUCGCCGUUUUAGAGAAACCCGUCCGUGAUGUUUGUUACUGCUCGUAAAUCUGUUUUUUAAAGUGACCAA